Molecule: transfer RNA, 72 nt
Filed under: Cucujus kempi
Lineage: Eukaryota; Metazoa; Arthropoda; Insecta; Coleoptera; Cucujidae
Description: tRNA-Lys
Source: RNAcentral
CAUUAGAUGGCUGAAAGCAAGCACUGAUCUCUUAAAUCAUAAAAUAGUAGUCCCGGCACCUACUUCUAAUGA